AUCGGGCCAACAACAGCCUUGAGUGUCGAGAGGAACUCAGGGUCCAUCAACUGAUUUGUAAGAAACUUCUGCAUUGUCACAGGAUAUUCUGCAAGAAAUAUUGUUCUCUUACAGGCUAGCGAAAAUUACUCAUGGUUGCAAGCAACAGAUAAGAAAUCGUAACAUAUAUAGUAAGAUUGUGACAUUCGUGGGGUAGUAACAAUCACGUAAUCGGCUUAAUUACCGUGAGCAGUUGUUGGGAUAUUUCGGCACAAUCGAUCGAAUCGACCAUACAAUUUACCUCCUGUAAAGAAAACGCAAAGAAUGUGGGAGUAGCACUAGCACACCACCGAUGAACAAUGCUAUUACGAAUAGGCGGGUAGGAAUUAAUGGAUGUGAUUAGGCGAGUAGCUGACCUGAGGAUGGCCGGAGUAAAUCCAACCGCCGGAGCAGGAGGGGGACGGGGUGCCCGCCUGCGCGACAAGGUGAGGCGGAUCAAAAAGCAGGCGAAAAUUAACAAAAUCUGCGGCGAGAUGGGGGGAAACUGCGGGGGCGAGGCCAAAGGGGAUCGGGGAGGGCACGCCACGAAGCUGGAGGGGAGCGAGACGAGAGGUCGAUUUGCGGGGCGGCGGCGCACCAUGCCGGUUCUCGGUUUAGCCGUCCGCCCGCCCGCCCCACGGCCGUACAGGGAUGAUGACGGUGGAUCGCACCAAAAAUUUCUUAUUCUUCCCUACGCCCUCGAUUCAAU
This 727-nucleotide long non-coding RNA is filed under the name Oryza sativa (Asian cultivated rice). Its description in RNAcentral is "long non-coding RNA (OSAT_LNC001127)". Lineage: Eukaryota; Viridiplantae; Streptophyta; Magnoliopsida; Poales; Poaceae. The record is from RNAcentral.